This is a long non-coding RNA of Rattus norvegicus (Norway rat), 17764 nucleotides long. RefSeq lists it as uncharacterized. The record is from RefSeq and is a predicted model, not a curated record. NCBI's taxonomy places the organism in Eukaryota, Metazoa, Chordata, Mammalia, Rodentia, Muridae.
CGGUCCUGUAGGAAAAAGUCAAUGACAUUUUAUCUUUAAAGGGAAUCUGCAUGCUGUAGGUUGUAUCAGAUAAUAAUGUUGCUAGUUACACUGAAAAUCAAAUCAUGGUAUUCUGUUGUCCAUCUGGACCAGAUACCUCUCAACCAGUCCAGAUUAUCUUGCUCAGAACCAGAACACAAAGAGAACCCAAGUGAUCACUGGUAAGGACAGUGGGCUGGCACCUAUAACAUCACCCCUAGCAACAAACCCUAGCAACAAAGAAGCUAGGAGAAAUACUAGUGUCACAGAUGUAGGAGGGCAGCAAGAGCCUGUGGAGAACCAGCACUGCUAGGCAACAGCAAACAGCAUUACAGAUAGGCAGGCGGUGUCAGCUCCCGAAGAGCGAGUAAGGCACGAUCACAGCUCGAGACCCCACCGUCCGGAGCAAUGAGCCAUGACACCACGCUAUGCUGACGAGAAAGGGUCAGGCACGGGCUGACAGCUCUAAAACGGCAAUCAGCACAGUUACAGAUGUGAGCACACAGUGACACUGGGAACGGACUCCCUGAAAUCCCAGUGCUCCCGUACAAUAGAAGUAAGAACCCCCAGGACAUGGGCAGUCUUAAGAAGACUCUUGGUACACUGUUUAUACCAUACUCAACAUAUAUGGCUUAGGAUGUUCUCUGCCAAGGAGCAGCUCUACAUUCAGAAAAAAAAAAUGCCAACGUUUGGAGAAAAAGGUUAUUAAGGAGAAGAAAUGAGAAUGUCAACAAAAUACAAAGGCCAAUCCUACAGGUGAACUCUCCUGGUCCAUGUUCAAGACUUCAGGAAUGAACAGCAACACAGGCUUCCCGUUACCUUGUCUAUGGUGAGCAUGUAAAAGUGAGUGAUGUCAUUCUCAUGUGCAUAUUUGAUUCUUGCCAUACACUCCUCUUCAUCAAUCAGUUCGCCAACAUACUCAUUAACAAAUUCUCCCUGGAAAUCAGAAGAAUAUCAUAACUGAGUAUAUACUGAACAAUUCUCACAAUCAGGGUCCAAGACACCAGGACACUAUCGAUCAAUACCAAAUGACCUCGUAGGUAUCUUAUAAAUAAGAUUGCCAGUGGCAAAUAUAUCAUGGUUUUCUCAAAGUAGCAACAUUCCAUAUUGCUUUUACAAUGUCUUGCCUGUUAGGAACAUAUCUGGUCCAUAUAAGUAAUCAUUACAUGCAGAGUCCCCUACCCACCCACCAAAGGAAAGAGGUUAUGAAGACCUUGACAGGCAGGUUCUACAGCAAAUCUACAUGAAGCAACAGUGGUGACAGCCAAGGAAGAAGGCUAGAGAAGGGUAUGUCUAAGUAGUCCUUUAAAAAAACAUGGCUGGCAACGAAUGCUACAGGGCAUGCACUAUCCAUGCUGGACCCACUCUGGUCAUGGACCCUGAGUCUGAAACUACUGGUCCCUACAUCAUGAAAAAGCACUUCAGGGCCAGUUUGUAACAAGGUAAACAACAACUGCACUUGUGUCUCUAUGAAGGGGAUAUACUGGCAAGUGACUCUGAAAGCAGAAACAGGGUUAAAAGAAAUUAACCCUCUCACCAAUGAAUUUAUCUAUUUUAUGUAUACGGUGUUUUGCCUGAAUAUAUGUCAUGUGUACACCUCAUGUGCUUGGUGUCCUUGGAGGCCAGAAGAGGACAUUAUACUCCCUGGAACUGGAGUUACAGGUGAUUGACAGCCACCGUGUGGGUGCUGAGAACAGAACCCAGGUCCUUUGAAAGGAACAACUAGUGCUCUUAGUCACUGAGACAUCUUCCCAGUCCUGCCAAUGAAUUUUUUGAUAUCUAAUUCAUACUAGAUUAUGCUGAGACAAUGUCAAAUAGUGAUGCCUCCUUAGCUCUUGCAGGAUAGCCUGAGCACCUGACUGCCAGUCUGAGGAAAAGCAAUCCUUUCACAGACUCUUUUCCUAGAGGCAAGCAUUAUAAUUCCGACCUAAGACAUGCUUCAAGGAUAUUUAUUAGUAUUAACUUUGAUAGAAGUUAUUUUUAAAACUGGUUUUGUUGCUUUGGUUGGUUUUUUUUUCUUUUUGAGGGGUGAUGGGAGUCUCCACUGUGUUGCCCUGCCUGGCCUGGAACUUACAACAAAGACUAUACUGUCCUUUAACUCAAGAGAGAUCUGCCCGCCUUUGCCACAUACCAGGUUUGUACCCUCAUGCAUACUUACAACUUUCAACUAUAAUAAUUAAAUCUGAACACCACUUAAAAUAUUUUAUACAAAUGCAAAAACAAAACACCCCCGCACACAAUAAGCAGGGAGCCGUUAAUUCUUAUAAGGGGAAGGGAGGGUUAGUGAGAUGAUCCAGUAGGGAAAGACCUUGCCACUAAGCCCUAUGACCUGAGAGAACGGACUCCCAAACGUUGUCCUCUGAUCUACACACACAUGCCAUGGCACGUGCACAUCCACAUACAUUCUAGGACUCGCACAAACACAAACUGAAGAAUCACUACACAGCACAAAAAGAAGAAGACACAUUACACACCUUUCUGAUGUCCCUUUUGGCAACCAGGCCCCACCCUUUGCCAUCGGUCUUGAUGAUCUUGGUCUCCGGGUACUGGCGCUUAGUGAAACACUGGUUCUGGCAAUAUUCCCCUGCAGGGCACACCUGCGGGUGGCACUCAAACAUUAGCAUCCUGUUUAGACACUCUGAAUCAGAGCCACAGGGGUUCUCAUCCGUGGGCUUACAGUUGCAUUUUGGGAUUUCAGAAAUGUCAGCUGUAUAGAUCUGGACUUUACCAUAAGGUUUAUUCACCUGUAAGAGAAAAGCACGUUGCCAUAACUCUACUUUGUAAGCAGGCAGCCUGGACCCUGCACACUCAUACUGCCCCUCAAGGACCCACCUUGGAGACAUGCACCCUAAUAACCAUCACCGGACCCAAAGAGACAGUUUCUGAUAGACCUCUUAACAAACACACCUGCACUGUAUAAAAAUUCAGUAGUCCAAAAGUCACAUUCACUACUCUGCUGAGAACACGAACACACACGAACACACACACGAACACACACACGAACACACACACACACACACACACACACACACACACACACACACUCCUGACAGGCCCAGCACCUUGAUAUGCUUGUAUGGUGGAGGCUUUCUCUCACUCUCCUGUGUUUCUCGGGCUUCCCGCUGAAGUUUGAUUUCAUUAAAACGAGCUUCGGCUUCUUGCAAUGCUAAAAAGUCAACAGAAUAUAAGGAAUGCAUUUCAGUGAAUAAGUACAUCUAACAUUUAUGCCCCAUACUCAUUGCUAAGUACUGUUGUUGGUUUUCAGGAAGCUAUAGGCUAUGCAACCCGUGAAAAGACAAGUGAGUCUCUAGUGGCUAAGAGCUCAUCUGUGCCAGCUCAGCACAGUCCAGUUGUGUCUCUGUCAGGCUCUACCCAGUCUCUGUACUGAGCUCUAAGGACAAGGCUGGUGCUUAGAGCACACUGGACCAAGAAAAGAAGAGAACUUCUAUUUUCUGUGAAAGCAAAAGUGUUUUGACAAGAAGCUCUGGUUCAGAUCAGCAAAGGCUACAUCAACACCCAAAGCUCACAGACUGUCGAUGUCAUUUUGAGGCCUGUCAGUGGAUGGGCUAAGCUGGCAGCUGCUGACCGGUCAUUAGUGGGCCCAACGUAAGAGCAGGCAAUUAUCAGGAGUCAGCAGCCUUGAGUCCCUCUUUCAACAUUUGGAACCGUAUCAAACUCACUAAGUUGCCUCAGUCUCUACCUGAAUCUCUCCUUCCUGAUAAUUUUAAGAGUCUUUGGAUAGCGAUCCAUUCUUACUAAGACUUCUUGAAGCUCCCGAAUGUUGAGACAUCAGGGAAAGACAACAGGGUGUGGUUGCUUGGUGCCUGCUCAACUCUCAGCUGCAGGCAAGGAAACAACGGCUCCCAAGACACAGAUCUUCAUCUGCCAGGGCAAAGCCCAUCGGCCUGUCUUUAGUUCUCCCUGCAUGAGCCAUGGAAGCACUUUAAGCUUUUCCUACUAUCCACACUCGCUCUGCACUUAGAGAAAAUGCUCAUUUUUCCUGUGCAAAUGUCACACCUCUAUCUCCUAUUUCCUUCCUGUCAGACCAUGAUCCAGCUUAGCCACACUUUCUACACUCCAUCUCUCAGACUGUACAUUAGACACAGCAUUCCUGUCAGUCUGGUUACUCUGACACUGUGUAAGGCACACAAGGUCCCACUAUGUCUUCUGAAUUGAAAUGAAUCAGUAGCUGAGGUCUAACCAUGGGAAACCAUCUCCAGAGAUGCCACACAAAGGCCAGCUAUGAAAAAUAGCUAUAAUUAGGGCUAAAGAUAGUAUAUUUUAGAAAGCUUUAUUUCAGACAGGCAUGGUGCUACCACACGCCUUUAAUCUCAGCACUCCGGAGGCAGAAUCAGGCAGAUCUAUCUCUGUGAGUUCAAGGCCAGCCUGGUCUACAAAAUGAGUUCCAAGGCAGCCAGGGCAACACAGAGAAACCUUGUCUCAAAAAAAAAAAAAAAAAAAACAAGUUAAUAUUGGAAAAGUUAUUUAAUAGCUUAAGUAUACUUCCAUAAAUACAUCACCCUACAAAACCUUUUUUUUCCUAGUAUAAAAGUAGAAAUAAAAUAUUUAGUCCAAGAAUUUUUUAAAAUACCAAAUUUCAAAAGAAGAGAAAUUAAGAUUAACAAGCCACAAGAGAGUACCAUGUAUGCUCCACUGGUUAAUCUCCGUACCGUUCUUGAAGACUCUUCCAAUCCCUCUGACCCCCUGGUAGCGGCUGCCCCGGUCCCCCUCCAUGUAUGGGAACACUCGUGCCUGAUGCGUCCAGUAAUAAUCUUUAGACCCGAAGAAAAACACAGGGAAUUCUCCAAUCUCGUGCUUCAUUUUCUGAAUAUUUGGGGGAACAUUUUUGGGAUGGCAAACUUCUGCUGGCCACCAUCUAUAAUAAAUAUUAAAAACAGGAUUCACACAUUCUUUAGAGUGACAAACUUUUCAGUACUUAGCACUAUAAAACAAAACACAUUUGAACAAGAAGUCUCUGAGAAGCAUAAACGUUUCCCGCAUACCUGUAGUUCCCAAGUUUGACCCAAAUGAUGUCUUGAAAGUGGAGCUUCUUCCCAGCUCGGCAGUCAUUGCAGAACCAGCUGCCAUCAGGCAUCUCGAUGCUCAAACAAUCAGGGUGGAAGGCUGCCGGACAGGCCUCGCAGCACAGAAGGCUUCCCCCUACAGGAAGACAACAGGCUAGCCUGAGUGUGUCUGUCUCUCCAGGUCACAUUAGACCUUUUUUUCCUUGGUUUUCCCAAGCAGGGUUUUGCUAUGCAUCUGCCUGCCCCUGCCUGGGCUGAUGAGUACAGGGAUCGAAGGCGUGCACCACCACUGCCUGGCUAGGCUCUCCCUCUCCCUCAGCCUGUGACUGCCACAAACCCAACAGAAGCACGAGCAUCAGGAUAUCAACCCUGAGUCAACGCUCAAUGGCAUCACCAAAGUCACCUUCUUAAGUCCAUAUGACCCUCUUAGUGCAGAGGACUGAGGUGACACCUUCGGCCUCUGCUGAGCUGAUACACACAGAGCCCACCCUUACCUUUGGAGCACACGAAGCACCAGCUCACAUUGACAUGAGUGUGGUGCCGCUUCCCCUUGCGGGCAGUGAAGUGGCCUGUGCAGAUUAUGCUGUUAGAAGCAAUCACGGAACAUCCCGCUGCCAGGCAGGCAUCCCCGCCAUGAUAGGCGACAGGGCAUCGGACGCACCGCAUCAUUUUACCUGAAGGAAAUAACAUCCUGAGGACCACAAAUACUUUAUGAUGGCCAACAUCAUCAAGCCUAAGAAAACUGGAAAAUUUAAGAUGGCAGACUCUGGAGCUAUUUAGUAACAAUACUUUCCAGGUAGGCAAAGGUUUCAAAACAGUGUUUGAAAAAAAAAACACCAUUUAAACAUCACAUUCGAAAUCAGAGUCGACCAGCAUUUCUUAACCUAGUGCUGCUGUCAUUUGGGGUUUGGCCACUCUACCUACUAGAUAUUGACAGCAAAUUCUCCCUAAAUAUUGCAAAAUGUAUCUUGACAGAUCAGCCUUAUGACAAGGAUAAGGCUACACUCUCCAAUCCCACACAACGAGCCUUAUCUUUCACGUACAUAAUUUGAUUUAAAAAUAUUUCUGAAUUGAGGACGAAGUUCAGUGGUAAAGCACUUGCCUAGGGUUCUACCUCUUGUAUUACAAAAAAAUUUCCCUGAUAUAUGAAGUGCCUUUAAAAAUAAGCAAACAGAAUCCAGAAAUAGCUCAGGUAGUAUCCUUUGUUGAAAAUCAAAAAUUUGAAUGUGCUAACAGAUAUGGAAAGACUGGAAUGGAAGCAGGUCUUACGUUACGGGGGGAAAAAACACUUGACUCAUCUUGUGAUGAGUCAGCAGAAAAGCGGGAGGUUUUGGAGACUGUUAGAGCUCAUAAUCUGCUGACACGUGCUGGGCUUCAACCGGCCCGCUUUCAGAAGCACCCACACAUUGCCAGUGAACCCACACCCAAGUUUUAAGGGCGCAUCUAUCUGUACCUUUUGAUGGCCGCGGAUUUGAAGGGUUUGAGGCAUGGCAGCUCAUACAGCUGUGGAGAGGACAGCGAAAGCCUCGGCUCUCAAACACAGUGAGAGGGUAUUUUUUCACACAGGCUUCAUGGUAAAACUUUCCACAUUGGUUUACCAUACAGCGUUUCACCUCCAUCUUGCUUUCUUUACAUACGAAGCAUGAGUGAAUCCCUAACAAGUGGUAAAGAGAAGAUACAGGUACAGAGAACAAGAGUUAAAUUGCAGUUGUGAGCAACUGGCACAAGGCAGCUAAAGCUUCUAGCUGUCUCCAACUAUGACGACUAGUCUGAGUCUUCAGGAGAAACCCCAGUCAUCAGAGUUCACUGUCAUCUAAUCUCCAGCUUCACCUAAAUGCAAGAAGUCUUUCUCCUUCCUGGCCCACUCACCAAUAUAGCAAAGACUUGCUAUGGCUCUACAAAGACUAGUAUCUGACGUUUACUACUGCAGCACAGCUGCCUGGGCAGCUCGACUCUUCUUGGGACUAGUCAGUGGGGAGCAGGGGCUACUGUCCACUUCAACUUCUCACUGUGAUCCUAUGGUAGUCAGCUCCUCAGUUAACUUCUUGCUGAAAUUAAGCUGAGUUAGAUCGAGUCUUUGUAAAGAACUUAGAAUUCUACAAACACCAGUAUUCUCUGUCUACUAAUUAGACAGGACUGUUUGAAGGUGCAAUGCAACUGACCCGUGUAGAACAAGGCUCAGGCUAGCACCCAAAAACAUUUGGAGAAGUGCAUAGCCUUUUACCUCCUUACUCCACCAGUCACUGUAUGCUGAACUACUUUGUGCAGUGAUGCUGUGGUUCAAGUUAAUACAGCACAGUGGGAGAGCGGCUCAGAGGAAUCCCACACUUUGAGCCAGUAUGUGUAGGAUUUCUCUGCCAAAUGAGUCACCUGCAACUGAAGAAAGCACAGAACAGGACAGCAUAAACGUCCUGAUGUCCACAUAAACCCCCAGCCUUGGAAGCUGGGGCUUACCUGAGGCACAUUCAGUGCAGGUGAAUCUUCCUUCUGGUCUCUGGGAAAGUCCAAGGCAGGCUAAGUGGAAUGCUCCACAACAGGGGCCUUCACACAGUAAGAGACUGCCUGUCUUCUCACACAGCUGUGGGGAGCAGAGGGUAGCGUGAACAGUUGGGACCCUCCUCACCACAGGGGACAAUUUGAUUCUGUCUCUGGCAUGCCAAUGAGCAUAACCAGAGUGACUACAGACAGGUUAAGUUAGUUACAGUGUCAGGUCCUCAGCAAGAAACAUACACUCACGUUUUCAGCUCACAUGUGAAUGUCAAAAAUGAAACAGAACAAAUAAAAAACAAGACCCAUGGCAUAGUCCCAUUAUAAACAAGCCAUCCUUUCAAAGAUGGGAACAAUGGAGGCAUUUUCCAACUAUAAACGAAUCAGCAGCCCCACAAGGAUACUGACACAGACUACACCUCACAAUGGUGCAGGGACUAAAGCACAGAGAGGUGAGUAGCUUUAAGAUCACCAGCCCAUAAUCCAGCACAGGUAGGACACUGACCCAGGCAGUGCCACUGUAGGAAUCUGGAUCUAUUACACCAACCCAAACCAUGACUGCCUACCCAAUGAAUUAAAUAGGCAGCAAAGGCACCAUAUCACCCUAGCACCUUACCUCUUACAGCAUACACACACACACACACACACACACACACACACACACACACACACACACACACACACCUUGUGCUGUACAUGAAACACAUUCCACCUGGGAAUGAAUGUUAACUUAGGCAACUUAAUACCAGAAUUCUGCUGACACUCUAACUCUUCCAAACAGAUAUCUAUGAGUAGUAACGGGGCAAGAAGAAGAUGCUGGAAACUCAGUCUGCUGUUCUAGGACUUCAUGAGAAGCCCUCACCAAUAUAUCAUACACCGCCUACCCCUCACCUGACACACGUACUCCUUUUUGGCAGCCAUUCCUCUUUCAGAUUUCUUAGAUGAGACGGACGCUUCAGUCUGUGUUUCAUCUGCACUUUCAUACGGAGACUCUGACGGUUCAUCUCCUGGGUUGUCUGAGACCUGGAGAUGAAGGAGGUGAACCAUAGUUCACUAGCCACAGAAAACAGGUGGCCACAUCCUUUGGACAUGGCCCACUUCUUGCCCUAUCACCCAGUGGCUUUGGAAGUAAUAAAACUUGUAAAAGCUGCAUAGAGAACUUCAGAAGUGGACUUUAUUCUACUCAAUAUUUAAUACACAUAUGUACAUAAGACAUAUUCCUUUAAAUAAAGCAACUUAGGAAAAUGCAAUUAUCUCUAAGUAAACUAAUUUCUGGGAUAUUCUUGCCCUUUCUUACCGAAUAUAUUCAGACCCAAAUACCAGAUGAAUUUAAAAAAAAAAAAAAAAAGCGAAAUUGCAAAAAAGAUCUCACAGUAGCUGUUUCUCACUCUACUGAGGACACUGUGCUCCCCCAGAAGCAGGUUGCUCCCCUGGAACUGAUUCAAGAGUCAGGAAAGUCACUGACACACAUUGCAGCCUGACUGCUAACUGGUCCCACUCAAUUCAUCUGCUCUGCCCCACAGAAAGGUAAGAAAUAAUUUCUGCCUUCCUUAAUACUUGAAUCUAAGGAAAAGACUUGGGAGAAAUGGUAAAGAAAGCACCUAUCUUUCUGACUCCCUUCCACUGAACAGAAAUUAGGAUCUAGCUACAACCUUACCCUUGCUACACAAUUCAUCCUGUCCUCACUUGACAAGUACUACCAGUAAAUGUUUAAAUGUGAAAAUAGGUAGUCCUUUCAUCUAUCAAAUAGAAGUGCUUAAUUUUUUUUGUCUUUAUCUGAUCUUAAAAAGUGUUGAAAAUUGAAUUUUGGAGAUAAAACAAAGCCAAAAGAGUAUUAAUUGUUUCAUCUUUACCUCAAAAAACACAAAUAAUUAUGUUACAGGCUUAUUAUUUGCCAGUGAACACAAAGCUAGAUAGUGUAAUUAGGGCACAUUAAAAAACAAAAACAAACUCACCAGGGACUCUGGCCCAUUGAUUUUGCAGCCUUACUGAUUGAUGAGCUGUCCCUUUAUCUCAUUGAAAUUAUUGGGAGCAAUGAGAGAAAAAACAUGUAUUUUCUGAUCCGAACUCAGUGUUAAAGUGGGAUAAAUUAACAAGGACUCCGGUGGCUCUGACGGGCCAUUGGAGCAAGGGACAGCCUUAGUGUGAUUCCAUUCUAGUCUCACUAGACGCAUAGCAGCAAAAAUGUAACGAAGGAAUAAACACAGGCCUUUCGAUGUAUUUUCUCACCUUUUUCAGGAAGAUGGAAAUAGCAUGAAGAACACUAGCUUAAUGUCACAGCGCAAGGUCUGUCACCAGGAGGCUCACUAGUUGGAACUACAGGGCCCAUUGCCAAUCCCUCUCCCAUCAGCUCACCUCCCACUUCUUUAACAUCAACAUCCAGAAAGAGGCAACGUGAAAUGCUCAGAGUUCAAACUCCAAAUUUAAUACAUCCAUCAGAUAUGAGGGUCACAGGUGGGGUCUGAGUACUUCUGAGAUGAGACAGGAGAAAGUACUAGGGAAGCCCAGGGCCUCAGGAAGCAGUGGCCACAAAGCUUGCCCUGGCUCAGAGAGCAGCUCCCAUAGCCCCACAAGGAUGACCCAUCUGACUAAUGGAGGAACUGAGACCCAAAGGGUGUUUAGCACAUCAUCCAUGGAAGAGAGCCCAUGCUCCAUCCACCAACCCACUUCUUCCCUCAGUGUGGAUAAAACAAUUUUCAAAACUAUAAAAAGAGAAAGGAAUGGAAAGAAAGACAGAAAACACAAACCAGUCCUGGGUCAGAGGAAGGAACAGCACCUUUUAUUUAAGAUUUACAGAAAGUUAGCACGUUUCCACUUGGAGAUAUUUCCUAAAUUAACAAAGUCUGUUUGAGGAAAUAAACACUGAAUACACAUUUCGAAUGGAAAUAUAAAUGUUAGCGACACACAUAAGGCUCGUUUCCUGAUUGGGUCUGUUAUCCACAUACAGAAUAUAGACCUUACAAUAUCACAGUUCAUGACAGAUUGUGGAAGGUCCACUUUCACCACAUCCUCCCCCACAAAUGGACACACCCUACCCGGCCCAGAGGCCCUCAGCUCUCUGCUCAGCAAACCACCUGCAAGUAGAGUCAAGUGUGCGCCUCACUCCAGCGGCAGGCUCCACCUCCAUGUGCACCACGUGACAGCUUACUUGGAGAUGCCAUUUGUGGAAGUGACAUAUCACCACCUGUAUGGUCCCAACACAGUCCCAGACCUCAGUCUACAACAUCUAUAAUCUAUUCAGUAUCCAACAGGAUGUAUUUGGAAAAAGAAAAAUGCAGUGACUGAUGGGACACAGACUGUCAAGAAUUUUCCUGUGGCUUCCUGUGUCCACCAAGGUCAUGCUUGUGGCACUGAUUUCCAAGCAGCUUAGUUCCUGACUUUCCAAAGUUUUCUUGAGUCUGAAAUACUUUCUCCACUCUCUACUUGGUAUGUGAUCGUGCCGAGGUGCCUACCUGCCUCAGACACACAUUCCUUCAGGGACAGGAAGUGUGGUCUCGUCUAUCACAGGGAGUUCAAGCAAGAUGGCAUUACCAAACAUCACAUGACCCAGUAGAAGUCUUCCAACCCACUGCCAGGAGCUAUGCGGCCAUCAGAAAGGCUCAAUAACUGUGACUGUGGUUUACCCGACUGUGGCCACAAAGCAGACCCCUGCCCUUCUGUGGGCUGAUACACAUUGAGGUUUUAACUUUUUUGACAAAACAAAUCCCUUCACAAGUUGAAUACUACAUCAUUUUAAAAUACAAUUACAGACCUUGAACAAUAAAUAUUUCUAGAACCAACAUUAUUUUCAUGUUUUAAGUUAUGCUUUCAUAAAGGAAGACGCAUAGAAGUGCGUUCACAGACGGUUUUAGAUUUACAAAUGAUAAGAAUCCUGUGCUCAGCAGAUAUAAUGGUCUAAAAUUAAGACUAAUCUUCAGCAGGUCUUCCAAGUUAACAUCACAGUGAAGUAUUAAGAGUGGAAUUAAGACAAUUUUAAAUUAAGUCAACCAUUCUAAAAUCCUAGAAUUCAAAAUAAUUUUUAUUAGAGUUUGCACAGACUAGAACCCUCCUAGCCGAUCCUAAUUCAAAGCCAGGUAUGAGUUACUGAGGACAUGAAAGAGGGGGGAAACCCAAAAUACAAAAAAACCUUUUAGUCCACAGAAUGUCAUUGUGCUUCAUAGUCAUUUAAUCUAAAGUCGGCUUCUACACAGUUAGCGUAAAAGGAAAGCAAAGUCUAAGUGAGGGAUGUGGCCACUCAGCCAUACAGCUGCUGCUCCCAUAAAGGCAUGCCCUUAUCCAAAGUUAAGUGAGUCCUAACUGUUCUACUGACUCAACCAUGUCCCAGGUGUGUCCUCAGAAGCAGCCAUCCCUUGGGAGCAGGCUGCGGGGGAGCCUGGUCCACCCAGCUGCAGCAACAGGCCAUCUGUCCUCAUGUGAAAGGCUUGAGGACAGAGGAACAGCCAGCCCACUUGCUUCCUUAGCUCAUGUGACUGGCAAUGCCCCUGUACCAAAACUAGGACUCCACCUGAUCCUAGUUGUUUUUUAAAAGUAGAAUACCCCUGAAAUGCUAGCAUGUUUAAAAUACUGUCAUAGUUAUUUGUUAAAAGCUGGACAACUACGUAGGCUAGAAAAAAUAUAUAUAUAAAUGUGGAUACAGCACACAGGACUGACGAGAUGAGAUGCAUCAGGUUACUGAAAGUACAUCCUUGUUAGUUACACCCCAGAAAGCAUUUCCCUUACCACGGUCAAACAAGGAAAAAUGAAAAUAUACUUUUCUGUGUACUAAGGAUGACCAUUUUCCUUCACUGGCAGAAAAAUUAGUGGGGGAAAAAAAUCUAAUAUUCUAAGUAAAACAAUAAAAAAGUUCCUAAAGAAACAAAGUCAAUUGCAAUUACCAAAAAUGCUAAAAUACAUAGGAAUCAAGAUUUUUUAAAACAAAACCCAAAACCUUUCUGUCAGUAUCAGUUAGAAGCAUUAAAAGCUCUGAUGUUAGGAAAGCCCUCCGCUUUAUUCUAGCAAAAGAAAACUUGGAAAUUAUCUCUGAAAUAUAAACACAGUCCUUGGAACUGAUUUUUCAAAAAGUGGAUAAUGGGUUAACUGAGGCUAAAAUAAGGUGCUGCACACUAAACUUCCCAAAGGGCCUGGUCCCUAACAGAAGUCCACUUGGACAUCAGGAUGGAAGGUGGAUCAGCAACCUGUAUGUCUGAGUAUGUGUGAGACCUACUGACCUUAGAGUCAAAUGACAGAGAAAGAAAGCAAACUAAGGGCCACUGACCCUAUAGUUAACCUGCCACUGGACAAACAGUUCCUAAAGAAGGGGGCGAUGACCUCACAGGACAGCUCGGGCCCACCAGAGCAACUGAGGCCAACAAAGAACCACUCAGUCGGGGUUCUUCGUUCUGCCCAAGUGAGCUAGGAGCUUAUAAAGAACACACACCAGUGCUGAAGGACAGACGGAAGGCCAGUUCUGGCCCUCACUCCAGGCUAUAUGAGAUCCCUUGUCAGGAGCACUCUUUAAUCAUUUAAAUUUUACACAAACACAGGCGUCAUUCUUUGAGGAAUGAUAUAUUUACUUAUCAUCUUUAUUUCCUUCUUUUUGUGUUAUUUAUGUUAUAGACUCUUAAUAGGUGCCAGUCACCUAUAUCAUCCAGUCAGCCCACAGACUCCAGAUACAACCCCGGGAUGAGUCCAUGAAGUCUCAGACAUGUGGUUAUCAGGUUAGGUUUUGUUAGGUUUUUUCUUGCUUUUCUUGUGACAUGUUCUUUCAUUAAUGAAAAGGCCCCGUCCCUCAUCUGGCUCCCAGCCCCAGAGAACCCUGUUUUAAGUUUUCUGGUGCUUCUGCAUGAACUCAAUUAAUCCCAUUAUAAAUAUAACCUGACUGGGAGACCAACUUAAAAAUCCGUCCACUCAUGCCAGCAGCAGGCUGUUCUACACCUCCUCAGAGGCAGUGGAUGGGAUGGCUGCCUUCCUGCAUGGAGCAAGGACUGUCUCAUCUUAGAGCCUGUGUUUUACUUCCUUGUCAUGAUUAGAUUUCAAGUUGGUUUUCAGGAUAUCCUCUUAAAAAUACUGAAGUUGUCUUCUAUUGGGAAACAGAAAUGUAAAUAGCUAUGAAUACUAAAAACCAUUUUGAGCUACAACUACACUUAAAGGCAUCAUGACCAAAAGACAACAUUCACUUUUCAUCAACGCUGAGGAAAAGCUGCCAGGAAGGGAGGAGUCCACCUGCAGCAGAGGGGCUGAUGAGGAGGAGCACCUGAAGACCUGGCUGCUGAGCACGGGUCUCCAUCCAGUUCAUGGACGCCCUGGUGCACUGCUCUGUUACAACAGCUACAGUGCAAACCUUUGUACAUUCAUUCACAUAAGUCUUCACCUAGUUAGAAUCAGAGCCUUAUACAGAAAGCUACCUCCCCUUGCCAAGCAAAUACAGUAUACAAACAAUAGUUUGAAGGCAGCCAAAUAGAAUCAAGUGGCAAUAACUGUUUAUACGGCAAAAGCGAAACUCAUCUCAUCAGCGGGCAGUUCAGAAGACCUAAGGCUAGAGGUAGCACUGCUUUUUUGACAUCUUUAUAGAAAAUGAAGGAAUUCCAUGUUAAAUUUAUAGCAUAAUAAAUUUGUCACAUAAUUUUUGUACUCUUAGCAGACAAGCUGUUGCUUCUUGCUAGACUCUUUUAAACAAGAGUCUCUUUUCUACUCACCUCUUUGAGGAGAGAGCAGCCAUGAGCUGACACAGAACUCUGCUUAUUUCCUGUAAGACUACCACUGGUCUCUGGGGCAGGAAAAUCCUGCAUGGAGGACUUUCACUCCACAGUCACUGCAGAAUGCAGAGGACCUGCUCCAACCCCUGGUCCCAAAGUGAGUUCUGUCUUCCUCAGUGAAAGAACAUUCCAGGAUCCUGCCCUUGUCCCCUCAUACUCUCGAAUCUCAAAUAGGUACUAACUAUGCCACUCUGCGAACAUCACCAUUAAUUCUGAAGUCCUCGCUUCCCCAUCGCAGAGCGAAGUGCCUAUCCUUAGCUGCUUCCUGGACACCCACUCAAAAUUCAUCAUGCUCUAAUUUCCAAUGAAAUCCCUUCAUUUCUGCCCAAGACCUUCUGGGAUAGUAUCUUUACUUUUGAGAAAUCACUUAUUAAACCAGGGCCAUUUCUACAUCAUCAUAAUUUCUUCAUACUUUUUAAUUUUGUAAUUUAUAUUUUAGUUUUUUUUUUAUUUACCUGAGAUCUUUCAUGUCUGUUAAGAACAGUACAACUUAGAAUGUUCACACUAGGUAUUCUCUGAGGUCAUGUCUCUAAAUACAUUUAAGCAGAGCCAGCUAAGUGACUUACCAGACCACAACCUCAUAGUCUAAUACCCUCCUGUGUCACACAAACAGAGCUAGGGUUCUGCUACUUCUGGAUUUAUUUUUUUCCGCACAUGCAUGAUGCAGUCAAGGGAAUCAUUUUUCAUGCCAAAGCAAAAUUUAUACUUUUGGAUAAAAAUAGAAUGAUGGUGAUUUUAUUAUUUUUAUUGUAAUAACCAUUACUGUCACAAUAGUGAACCACUGAGUCCUUGCACGGUGCCAGGCACUCUACGUGUUUUACAUGCGUUACAUUACUUAAUGGUUUGGAACAAAAGUAUUUCUCAGAAACUUUCAUCACAGGUCCAACACUGAGGUGUCUGUGUGGAACGGCCUGGGCACCGCUCACACAUCCCGUGCAUAGCACAAGCUCUGCUUCUUGAGCUAAGGGCAGGUGGAGCCUUUCCUCCCAUGCAGACAUGCGGGCCCCUGGGUAGCCCCAGCUGGACAUCCAGGACCACAACAUUGAAAACAUGAUGCUGAUGCUCUACAAAAGCAACUGAUGAUGUGGUUGUUGUAAGUAAACUGAUUGUGGUGUCUUCUAGAUAUCAGUGACUAGAUCAACAGUUGAAUGGUUCACCAUGAUACUAUUAAUCGUAUGUUCCCCUAAAAAUCUACUGGGUCUAGUGUCAUAGUAAAACUGUCAAGUAAAAAAAGGACAGAAUCAAAAUUCUUCCUGCCUUCUGUGUGGGAAAACUGGUUUAUUAUCUACAAUACUGAAUACAUUUCAUUGGCAAUGAAAAUAGCUGACAAAGAACCUUUAAUGUGUCCUGCUUGUUCUUUCUUACUGAUAGAACAGAUGCUGACAUUUUCCAUAAAAAUUGAGUAAGUUAUGGAUCAGAGGAAAAAAUGAGCAUUAACAGGAUAACCCUUCAACAUGGUGCAUUGUCAAUUGUCUGGGCAACCUCAAUUGAAGGGCCUCCUCCUCAACGUGAACUUUAGACUGAUCAUUAGAAUAUGAAUGUGUUUCUAUUAUGGGAUGAAUGUGAUUGAUUAAAUGGCCUUGAUUGAGUAUCUUACCUUGGUCUUAAAAUUUGUUAUCUGUUUUCUUCAUUGUAUGUGUUUAUUAAUACCAGUAAAAACAGAUUAUCACACAUCUUCCAUAAAAUGAUUGUGAUAGAAAUGUCACUUAGUGUAUACGAUGAGGCACCACCUGCAGCAGACAUCUUGGGGUAUUACAUCAUUCUAAGUGCAGUACAGGGCGGCUGAGUUCAAGUCCAACUUGACUGAUGUGGGCUCCCAUAAAAGCUGUUACCAGUGAAGGCGAAAAAAAUAAGAAUUUGCUCUACUAAGGGAACAAAAAAUGAAGUUACAAAACACUUAUAUCACAUCAAUUCCUUCACAGGCCUUUGUCAUGCAAGUGUGCAAUUUUAAUCUCUUCAUUGGGGUGAUGUAAUAUCAUGUAAUAAAUAAUUAUUCCAAUAUAAAUUUAUCAUACAUUUUUAAGAACUUAAACUACAACAUGUCUUGAAUACCAACCCUACAUAAUCCUCUUUCUUUCAAUCAAGUGUGGUGAAGGGGAAAAAAUACAAACAUGCAGAACCUAAGUGUCCCAAAGUGAGGAGGGAGUCUGACCCCCAAACAGUAAUUUCACAUCAGAACCAGACUCGGUCCCCACAGCUCACGUGUUAGCAGGCACUCAGCACUACACACUCAUAAACUCACUGUGCGGUUAGUAGUGCUAAUGCAUAUAGAUAAAUCUACUUGGUCACCUAAAGUUUUUAAAUUAACAGUGCAACUCUAUAAAAUAAGCUACAAUGGAAUAUUUACACAUAAGUAACCUAAUAGAGAAGGUCUAGAAAGUUAAAUUAUUUUAUUUAAGGAACAAAAAGUAAGAUUUAUAUAUCCCCUUAAAAAUGUAAGAAGGGAUUUGAAUCCAAUACAUUUCCAACAUAAAAGAAUGUACUUAAAUCAUCUAUCAGCCUCUGAUAUUGCAACUAAGUCUUGUCACAAAAUGCUCCACCUUAGCCUUUCCUGGUGCAGACUACUGAGCAGCACCAGCAACUGCUCUCUCUCCCCCUCACCGUUUUCACCCUCAAUAUCAAUACUGAUGACCAGGAAUAAUAGAUACAAGUUCAGUAACUCGAUAAUUUUCUCUCUCCCUUGUCCAACAACAGCAUACAUAAAAUACCAACCGGAUAAAAAGAUCAAAAUAUAAAGCAAGAAAAACUUGUUUGAAAAAUUUCAUAGGCUGUAACUCAGAAAUAGGACAUUUGCCUGGACUCACAAAUCCCUGGAUUCUAACCCCAGCACUCUAAAAAAAAAAAAAAAAUCAUAAAUGGAAAGUCCAACUUUAAUGCCCAAAUGAAAGGGUUUCUAUAACAGAAACCCUUUCAUUUUUAAUAUGGUUAACUUGAACUGUAGACCAUCUUUAACUUUCUAAAAUGCUAGUAUAAAUAUGGGUAAAAGAAAAAUGAAAAAUAAUUUAUAUAAAACUAGCCUUUUCGUAUUUCAGUAACAUUUUAGAUAGAAGCUCAGCAGCGAAGUAUAUAAGAAAUGCUUAGUUUUCUAUAUAUAACAACUAUAAGGAAGUCCCAGUCCCAUGAGUAUGAACACUUUAGAUUAUGACUGAGGUCCCACUAAAUGAACAGUCUAAAUUUACACCAUACUUCAGAGCAGUGAGCAACAGAGUUCUCAAGGGUGUUCCUUGGGCCACCCAGGUCCCUAACCAUCAUGCAGUGGAAGGCCCAGCCCACCACCAGUAAAAAGAAGAGCAAGGACACACCCAACCCUACUAGGGGACACAGGUCAGAUCAGGUCAGAUGAGAAGAGCUCCUUCUGAUCCAUAAGGAGAAAGGGGCCUGCCUACUUCCCAUCUCACUAUCCUGCUAAUGAAGACCAAAGUUACAACUCCUUACAAAUACUGUGAAAAUAAAUCUCCAGUCUACAAUGAGAAAAAAAAAAAAAAAAACCAAAAAACAAAA